Molecule: RNase P RNA, 277 nt
Filed under: Pseudomonas sp.
Lineage: Bacteria; Pseudomonadati; Pseudomonadota; Gammaproteobacteria; Pseudomonadales; Pseudomonadaceae
Description: partial RNase P RNA component class A
Rfam family: Bacterial RNase P class A
About the family: Ribonuclease P (RNase P) is a ubiquitous endoribonuclease, found in archaea, bacteria and eukarya as well as chloroplasts and mitochondria. Its best characterised activity is the generation of mature 5'-ends of tRNAs by cleaving the 5'-leader elements of precursor-tRNAs. Cellular RNase Ps are ribonucleoproteins.
Source: RNAcentral
AGAGCCGACCGGGCAGUCGCUGUCGUGAUCCGCAAGGGUUGCGAGGGAGGAAAGUCCGGGCUCCAUAGGGCGAGGUGCCAGGUAACGCCUGGGAGGCGUGAGCCUACGGAAAGUGCCACAGAAAAUAACCGCCUAAGCGCGCAAGCGCCGGUAAGGGUGAAAAGGUGCGGUAAGAGCGCACCGCACGGCUGGCAACAGUUCGUGGCUAGGUAAACCCCACCUGGAGCAAGACCAAAUAGGAAUCCAUAGGCGUGGCCCGCGCUGGAUUCGGGUAGGU